Molecule: ribosomal RNA, 421 nt
Filed under: uncultured bacterium
Lineage: Bacteria
Description: bacterial SSU rRNA
Rfam family: Bacterial small subunit ribosomal RNA
Source: RNAcentral
AAUUGUUCGCAAUGGGCGCAAGCCUGACGACGCAACGCCGCGUGGAGGAUGAAGAUUUUCGGAUCGUAAACUCCUGUCGAGUGGGAAGAAUAGCUUUCGGAUAAACAUUCCGGAGGCCUGACGGUACCACUAAAGGAAGCCCCGGCUAACUCCGUGCCAGCAGCCGCGGUAAUACGGGGGGGGCAAGCGUUGUUCGGAAUUACUGGGCGUAAAGGGCUCGUAGGCGGCCAACUAAGUCGGAUGUGAAAUCCCCAGGCUCAACCUGGGAACUGCAUCCGAUACUGGAUGGCUUGAAUUCGGGAGAGGGAUGCAGAAUUCCAGGUGUAGCGGUGAAAUUCGUAGAUAUUCGGAAGAACACCAGUGGCGAAGGCGACUCACUGGACAUGUAUUGACGCUGAGGUGCGAAAGCGUGGGGAGCAAA